Molecule: non-coding RNA, 1811 nt
Organism: Saccharomyces cerevisiae Lalvin QA23
Lineage: Eukaryota; Fungi; Ascomycota; Saccharomycetes; Saccharomycetales; Saccharomycetaceae
Source: Rfam
UAUCUGGUUGAUCCUGCCAGUAGUCAUAUGCUUGUCUCAAAGAUUAAGCCAUGCAUGUCUAAGUAUAAGCAAUUUAUACAGUGAAACUGCGAAUGGCUCAUUAAAUCAGUUAUCGUUUAUUUGAUAGUUCCUUUACUACAUGGUAUAACUGUGGUAAUUCUAGAGCUAAUACAUGCUUAAAAUCUCGACSCUWUGGAAGAGAUGUAUUUAUUAGAUAAAAAWUCAAUGUCUUCGGACUCUUUGAUGAUUCAUAAUAACUUUUCGAAUCGCAUGGCCUUGUGCUGGCGAAUGGUUCAUUCAAAUUUCUGCCCUAAUCAACUUUCGGAUGGUAGGAUAGUCGGCCUACCAUGGUUUCAACGGGUAACGGGGAAUAAGGGUUCGAUUCCGGAGAGGGAGCCUGAGAAACGGCUACCACAUCCAAGGAAGGCAGCAGGCGCGCWAAAUUACCCAAUCCUAAUUCAGGGAGGUAAGUGACCAAUAAAUAACGAUACAGGGCCCAUUCGGGUCUUGUAAAUUGGAAUGAGUACAAUGUAAAUACCUUAACGAGGAACAAUUGGAGGGCAAGUCUGGUGCCAGCAGCCGCGGUAAUUCCAGCUCCAAUAGCGUAUAUUAAAGUUGUUGCAGUUAAAAAGCUCGUAGUUGAACUUUGGGCCCGGUUGGCCGGUCCGAUUUUUUCGUGUACUGGAUUUCCAACGGGGCCUUUCCUUCUGGCUAACCUUGAGUCCUUGUGGCUCUUGGCGAACCAGGACUUUUACUUUGAAAAAUUAAGAGUGUUCAAAGCAGGCGUAUUGCUCGAAUAUAUUAGCAUGGAAUAAUAGAAUAGGACGUUUGGUUCUAUUUUGUUGGUUUCUAGGACCAUCGUAAUGAUUAAUAGGGACGGUCGGGGGCAUCAGUAUUCAAUUGUCAGAGGUGAAAUUCUUGGAUUUAUUGAAGACUAACUACUGCGAAAGCAUUUGCCAAGGACGUUUUCAUUAAUCAAGAACGAAAGUUAGGGGAUCGAAGAUGAUCAGAUACCGUCGUAGUCUUAACCAUAAACUAUGCCGACUAGGGAUCGGGUGGUGUUUUUUUAAUGACCCACUCGGCACCUUACGAGAAAUCAAAGUCUUUGGGUUCUGGGGGGGAGGUAUGGUCGCAAGGCUGAAACUUAAAGGAAUUGACGGAAGGGCACCACCAGGAGUGGAGCCUGCGGCUUAAUUUGACUCAACACGGGGAAACUCACCAGGUCCAGACACAAUAAGGAUUGACAGAUUGAGAGCUCUUUCUUGAUUUUGUGGGUGGUGGUGCAUGGCCGUUCUUAGUUGGUGGAGUGAUUUGUCUGCUUAAUUGCGAUAACGAACGAGACCUUAACCUACUAAAUAGUGGUGCUAGCAUUUGCUGGUUAUCCACUUCUUAGAGGGACUAUCGGUUUCAAGCCGAUGGAAGUUUGAGGCAAUAACAGGUCUGUGAUGCCCUUAGACGUUCUGGGCCGCACGCGCGCUACACUGACGGAGCCAGCGAGUCUAACCUUGGCCGAGAGGUCUUGGUAAUCUUGUGAAACUCCGUCGUGCUGGGGAUAGAGCAUUGUAAUUAUUGGCUCUUCAACGAGGAAUUCCUAGUAAGCGCAAGUCAUCAGCUUGCGUUGAUUACGUCCCUGCCCUUUGUACACACCGCCCGUCGCUAGUACCGAUUGAAUGGCUUAGUGAGGCCUCAGGAUCUGCUUAGAGAARGGGGCAACUCCAUCUCAGAGCGGAGAAUUUGGACAAACUUGGUCAUUUAGAGGAACUAAAAGUCGUAACAAGGUUUCCGUAGGUGAACCUGCGGAAGGAUCAUUA